RNAcentral lists this ribosomal RNA (521 nucleotides) under uncultured bacterium. Its description in RNAcentral is "bacterial SSU rRNA". It matches the Rfam family "Bacterial small subunit ribosomal RNA", at positions 791 to 1310 of the family's 1533-position model. The record is from RNAcentral.
UAGUCCACGCUGUAAACGAUGAGCACUAGUUUUUGGGAGUUUAACCCUCUCAGAGACGCAGCUAACGCAUUAAGUGCUCCGCCUGGGGAGUACGGUCGCAAGACUAAAACUCAAAGGAAUUGACGGGGGCCCGCACAAGCGGUGGAUUAUGUGGUUUAACUCGAAGCAACGCGAAAAACCUUACCUAGGCUUGAAAUCCCAAGAACACUUUGUAAUUGAAGUGGUGCUCUUCGGAGAAUUUGGAGACAGGUGCUGCAUGGCUGUCGUCAGCUCGUGUUGUGAAAUGUUGGGUUAAGUCCCGCAACGAGCGCAACCCUUAUUUUUAGUUGCCAGCAUUAAGUUGGGCACUCUAGAGAGACUGCCUGGGUUAACCAGGAGGAAGGUGGGGAUGACGUCAAGUCCUCAUGGCCCUUAUGCCUAGGGCUACACACGUAAUACAAUGGGAUACACAAAGGGAAGCGACCUGGUAACAGUGAGCAAAUCUCAAAAAGUAUACUCUCAGUCCGGAUUGAAGUCUGCAA